RNAcentral lists this transfer RNA (76 nucleotides) under Bacteroidota bacterium. RNAcentral's name for it is "tRNA-Gly". It matches the Rfam family "tRNA". Rfam says of the family: Transfer RNA (tRNA) molecules are approximately 80 nucleotides in length. RNAcentral also lists the same sequence under 3 other names. The record is from RNAcentral. Lineage: Bacteria; Pseudomonadati; Bacteroidota.
GCGGAAGUAGCUCAGUUGGUAGAGCACGACCUUGCCAAGGUCGGGGUCGCGAGUUCGAGUCUCGUCUUCCGCUCCA